GUCCUUUUGUUUAUUUAUUUAAGGUCUGACCUGCCCAAUGAGGAAUUGAAUGGCCGCAGUAUUUUAACUGUGCUAAGGUAGCAUAAUCAUUUGUCUUUUAAUUGAGGGCUGGAAUGAAGGGUUGGACGAGGUAUUAACUUUCUUUGAUUUAAUAAGGAGAAUUUAAUUUUUGAGUUAAAAAGCUUAAAUUUAUUUGUGGGACGAGAAGACCCUAUAGAUCUUUAUAGUUUUAUAUUUUAAUAAUUUGGUGAUUUAUUUGUUUUAAGUAGAUGAACUAUUUUGUUGGGGUGACUGUAGAAUUUAAAUAACUUCUAUUAUUUUAUUUCAUUAAUUAAUGUUUUUGUGAUCCAUAUUUUAUGAUUAUAAGAUUAAGUUACCUUAGGGAUAACAGCGUAAUUUCCUCGGAGAGUUCAUAUUGAUGGGGGAGUUUGCGACCUCGAUGUUGGAUUAAAAUAAGUUAUGGAUGCAGGAGUCUAUUUACUAGGUCUGUUCGACCUUUAAAUUUUU
This 507-nucleotide ribosomal RNA is filed under the name Triatoma infestans. RNAcentral describes it as "partial 16S ribosomal RNA". It matches the Rfam family "Bacterial large subunit ribosomal RNA", at positions 1829 to 2597 of the family's 2925-position model. The record is from RNAcentral. Lineage: Eukaryota; Metazoa; Arthropoda; Insecta; Hemiptera; Reduviidae.